This 960-nucleotide small RNA is filed under the name Pan troglodytes (chimpanzee). Its description in RNAcentral is "retained intron". Lineage: Eukaryota; Metazoa; Chordata; Mammalia; Primates; Hominidae. The record is from RNAcentral.
AGAAAUUCAGUGUCUGCAUAGCUUUGAGUCCAGUGUUUGAAGACGAUCUCUGAUUGUGAAGCCCUCUUUUUCUCUCCUUCUAUUUCUCUCUAGAGCACUCAAGACUUUACUGAUGAAAACUCAGGAAAUCCUCUAUCACAAAGAGGUUUGGCAACUAAACUAAGACAUUAAAAGGAAAAUACCAGAUGCCACUCUGCAGGUUGCAAUAACUACUACUUACUGGAUACAUUCAAACCCUCCAGAAUCAACAGUUAUCAGGUAACCAACAAGAAAUGCAAGCCGUCGACAACCUCACCUCUGCGCCUGGGAACACCAGUCUGUGCACCAGAGACUACAAAAUCACCCAGGUCCUCUUCCCACUGCUCUACACUGUCCUGUUUUUUGUUGGACUUAUCACAAAUGGCCUGGCGAUGAGGAUUUUCUUUCAAAUCCGGAGUAAAUCAAACUUCAUUAUUUUUCUUAAGAACACAGUCAUUUCUGAUCUUCUCAUGAUUCUGACUUUUCCAUUCAAAAUUCUUAGUGAUGCCAAACUGGGAACAGGACCACUGAGAACUUUUGUGUGUCAAGUUACCUCCGUCAUAUUUUAUUUCACAAUGUAUAUCAGUAUUUCAUUCCUGGGACUGAUAACUAUCGAUCGCUACCAGAAGACCACCAGGCCAUUUAAAACAUCCAACCCCAAAAAUCUCUUGGGGGCUAAGAUUCUCUCUGUUGUCAUCUGGGCAUUCAUGUUCUUACUCUCUUUGCCUAACAUGAUUCUGACCAACAGGCAGCCGAGAGACAAGAAUGUGAAGAAAUGCUCUUUCCUUAAAUCAGAGUUCGGUCUAGUCUGGCAUGAAAUAGUAAAUUACAUCUGUCAAGUCAUUUUCUGGAUUAAUUUCUUAAUUGUUACUGUAUGUUAUACACUCAUUACAAAAGAACUGUACCGGUCAUAUGUAAGAACGAGGGGUGUAGGUAAAGUCC